AACGGAGGGUGCAAGCGUUGUUCGGAAUUACUGGGCGUAAAGCGCGUGCAGGUGGUUUUCUAAGUUCUGUGUGAAAUCCCUCGGCUUAACCGAGGAACUGCGCAGAAUACUGGAUGACUUGAAUACGGGAGAAGUGGGCGGAAUUCCCAGUGUAGAGGUGAAAUUCGUAGAGAUUGGGAGGAACACCGGUGGCGAAAGCGGCUCACUAGACCGAUAUUGACGCUCAUACGCGAGAGCGUGGGUAGCAAACAGG
This 253-nucleotide ribosomal RNA is filed under the name uncultured bacterium. RNAcentral describes it as "partial 16S ribosomal RNA". It matches the Rfam family "Bacterial small subunit ribosomal RNA", at positions 524 to 776 of the family's 1533-position model. The record is from RNAcentral.